CAUGCAGUCGAACGAUGAUUUUCCAGCUUGCUGGAAAUGAUUAGUGGCGGACGGGUGCGUAACGCGUGGGAAUCUACCUUUUAGUGGGGGAUAGCCCGGAGAAAUCCGGAUUAAUACCGCAUAAUCUCCACGGAGCAAAGUGGGGGAUCUUCGGACCUCACGCUAUUAGAUGAGCCCGCGUUAGAUUAGCUUGUUGGUGAGGUAAUGGCUCACCAAGGCAACGAUCUAUAGCUGGUUUGAGAGGAUGAUCAGCCACACUGGGACUGAGACACGGCCCAGACUCCUACGGGAGGCAGCAGUGGGGAAUAUUGGACAAUGGGCGCAAGCCCUGGAUCCCAGCAAUACCGCGUGUGUGAAGAAGGCCUGAGGGUUGUAAAGCACUU
This 383-nucleotide ribosomal RNA is filed under the name uncultured Gammaproteobacteria bacterium. Its description in RNAcentral is "bacterial SSU rRNA". It matches the Rfam family "Bacterial small subunit ribosomal RNA", at positions 54 to 435 of the family's 1533-position model. Lineage: Bacteria; Pseudomonadati; Pseudomonadota; Gammaproteobacteria. The record is from RNAcentral.